AACGAACGCUGGCGGCAUGCCUAACACAUGCAGGUCGAACGAGACCUUCGGGUCUAGUGGCGCACGGGUGCGUAACGCGUGGGAACCUGCCCUUAGGUUCGGAAUAACUCCCCGAAAGGGGUGCUAAUACCGGAUAAUGUCUUCGGACCAAGAUUUAUCGCCUUUGGAUGGGCCCGCGUUGGAUUAGCUAGUUGGUAGGGUAAAAGCCUACCAAGGCGACGAUCCAUAGCUGGUCUGAGAGGAUGAUCAGCCACACUGGGACUGAGACACGGCCCAGACUCCUACGGGAGGCAGCAGUGGGGAAUAUUGGACAAUGGGCGAAAGCCUGAUCCAGCAAUGCCGCGUGAGUGAUGAAGGCCUUAGGGUUGUAAAGCUCUUUUACCCGGGAUGAUAAUGACAGUACCGGGAGAAUAAGCUCCGGCUAACUCCGUG
Molecule: ribosomal RNA, 432 nt
Filed under: uncultured bacterium
Lineage: Bacteria
Description: partial 16S ribosomal RNA
Rfam family: Bacterial small subunit ribosomal RNA
Source: RNAcentral